Molecule: ribosomal RNA, 420 nt
Filed under: bacterium
Lineage: Bacteria
Description: partial 16S ribosomal RNA
Rfam family: Bacterial small subunit ribosomal RNA
Source: RNAcentral
UGGGGGAUAUUGCACAAUGGGCGAAAGCCUGAUGCAGCGACGCCGCGUGGGGGAUGAAGGCUUUCGGGUUGUAAACCUCUUUCGCUAUCGAACAAGGCCCGCUUAGGGUGGGUUGAGGGUAGGUGGAGAAGAAGCGCCGGCUAACUACGUGCCAGCAGCCGCGGUAAUACGUAGGGCGCGAGCGUUGUCCGGAAUUAUUGGGCGUAAAGGGCUUGUAGGCGGCUUGUUGCGCCUGCUGUGAAAACGCGGGGCUUAACUGCGCGCGUGCAGUGGGUACGGGCAGGCUUGAGUGUAGUAGGGGUGACUGGAAUUCCAGGUGUAGCGGUGGAAUGCGCAGAUAUCUGGAGGAACACCGAUGGCGAAGGCAGGUCACUGGGCCAUUACUGACGCUGAGGAGCGAAAGCAUGGGUAGCGAACAGG